AUGGCCAUCAUCAAGCAGUCGCUCAUUGUCCUAGUGCUGCUCAUAUGCGGAGCAGGCGGCUCCGCCACACCGGCGCCGGCGCCGGAGCCGGCGCUGCUGACGCAGGAUAAUCUGUGUGUCGGCAUAAGCACGUCCAACGAAGAGCUGGCCUGCGUCGCCAACGUCGCACUGGCCUGCUUCGCCGAGAAUGCCGUCACCAACGAGGUUACCUUCACGCCAUGCUUCGUCCUCGCCGCCGGCAGGCAAUGCUUGGCCAAGGAUAAGGAGGAGCCCAACAAGGAGCACUGCAUCGGCCUAGAGAUCAGCAAGCAACUGCUGCCAUGCCUUGGAGAUAGCGCCUGGACCUGCUACAACGACAUCACGGGGUACAUCCCUCCCAGGACUGCAGCACAACAUGUCUCCUUCGUGCUGCUGCUGCUCCUUGUGUCAAUGGCCGCAGUUAGAUCGACCGCCGGAGUGCAGCAAGGACAAUGGUACAGCGUCAUGGAUUUCCAUGCAGCUGGGGACGGCGCGACCAGUGAUGUCGAGGCGUUCGAGGAGACAUGGAAAGUAGCCUGCAGCAGCCACAGCAGCGAGGUGAUCAUUACUCCCUUCAUAAAGAAAUAUAAGAGCAUACUGGAAUUGAGGUUAGUGUUUGUGCAGCUGGAGAGCGACGUGGUGGCGCCAAGUUCCUUCUAUUUAAAGCCAUCAGACGUCCUGACCUUCUAUGGCGUCGACAACCUGACGACACACAAUACUUCCUCCCUCUCGCAGUCGCUGUCGUUCGCACACUGCAACAAUCUACGGGUGACCAACAUACGCCUCAAGGACGGCGCCGAAAAGAACAUGAUCCUGUACGAGUGCACGCAGGUGCAGGUGCACAACGUCUCCAUCACGGCGCCGGGCGACAGCCCCAACACGGACGGGAUCAAUAUGGGCUCCUCCAACCAUGUAAAUAUCUCGUCUUGCUCUAUGCACACCGGUGAUGAUUGUGUGUCGAUUCUAUCGGGGACCACCAAUGUUAACAUCACCAACACCACCUGCGGGCCUGGUCAUGGCAUCAGGGAUGGCAAGGCACUAGCAACCGAAUUCCUUUUCACCAAACUCAGAAUGACUGCCGUCCGGUUGCCUAUCGACAUCGACCAGUUCUAUUGCCCCCAAGGAAACUGUCCACCACAGGCCGCGGGCGCCUCCUCCUCCUUUGCAUGGGGGAUGGGACCACGCGACCCCGAGAUGGAAGUGACAACGCCUGAUGAGAUCAAGGAAAAGAUCAACGAACUUGAGAAAGUCUCCAAACCAUGUGCAAAUACAAUUGGUCAAGAGAUUGAUUCUAAUUGGAUGAUGAGCAAAGAUCUCGAAGCCAAGGUGAAUAGUCUCUACAGUAAGAUGGAUACCCUCUUUGAUUUUACCACCAAGCUCUUUGCAGAAACCAGCCUUCUUACGAAGUUGGCCACUAAGAAACAAAGAGAAAUAUUUGUGAUGUGUCAUUUCAAGUGUAUCGGUCUCGCAUGCAACGUGAAGAAGGCGGAGGGAUCCAAGGAAGCUAAGGAGGAAGGAACCUCGGCUAGACCCAAUUAG
Molecule: ribosomal RNA, 1557 nt
Filed under: Triticum aestivum (bread wheat)
Lineage: Eukaryota; Viridiplantae; Streptophyta; Magnoliopsida; Poales; Poaceae
Description: partial small subunit ribosomal RNA
Source: RNAcentral